UAGUAACGGCGAGUGAAGCGGCAACAGCUCAAAUUUGAAAUCUGGCGUCUUCGGCGUCCGAGUUGUAAUUUGCAGAGGGCGCUUUGGCAUUGGCAGCGGUCCAAGUUCCUUGGAACAGGACGUCACAGAGGGUGAGAAUCCCGUACGUGGUCGCUAGCCUUUACCGUGUAAAGCCCCUUCGACGAGUCGAGUUGUUUGGGAAUGCAGCUCUAAAUGGGAGGUAAAUUUCUUCUAAAGCUAAAUACUGGCCAGAGACCGAUAGCGCACAAGUAGAGUGAUCGAAAGAUGAAAAGCACUUUGGAAAGAGAGUUAAAAAGCACGUGAAAUUGUUGAAAGGGAAGCGCUUGCAGCCAGACUUGCCUGUAGUUGCUCAUCCGGGUUUCUACCCGGUGCACUCUUCUACGGGCAGGCCAGCAUCAGUUUGGGCGGUUGGAUAAAGGUCUCUGUCAUGUACCUCUCUUCGGGGAGAACUUAUAGGGGAGACGACAUGCAACCAGCCUGGACUGAGGUCCGCGCAUCUGCUAGGAUGCUGGCGUAAUGGCUGUAAGCGGCCCGUCUUGAAACACGGACCAAGGAGUCUAACAUCUAUGCGAGUGUUUGGGUGUCAAGCCCGAGCGCGUAAUGAAAGUGAACGGAGGUGGGAACCCUUCGGGGUGCACCAUCGACCGAUCCUGAUGUCUUCGGAUGGAUUUGAGUAAGAGCAUAGCUGUUGGGACCCGAAAGAUGGUGAACUAUGCUUGAAUAGGGUGAAGCCAGAGGAAACUCUGGUGGAGGCUCGCAGCGGUUCUGACGUGCAAAUCGAUCGUCAAAUUUGGGC
RNAcentral lists this small RNA (817 nucleotides) under Didymella heteroderae. RNAcentral describes it as "eukaryotic LSU rRNA". It matches the Rfam family "Eukaryotic large subunit ribosomal RNA", at positions 81 to 916 of the family's 3401-position model. Lineage: Eukaryota; Fungi; Ascomycota; Dothideomycetes; Pleosporales; Didymellaceae. The record is from RNAcentral.